GACGUAGGGCGCGAGCGUUGUCCGGAUUUAUUGGGCGUAAAGAGCUCGUAGGCGGCUUGUCGCGUCGACUGUGAAAUCCCGCGGCUCAACUGCGGGUCUGCAGUCGAUACGGGCAGGCUAGAGUUCGGUAGGGGAGACUGGAAUUCCUGGUGUAGCGGUGAAAUGCGCAGAUAUCAGGAGGAACACCAAUUGCGAAGGCAGCUCGCUGGGACGUUACUGACGCUGAGGAGCGAAAGUGUGGGGAGCGAACAGG
This 253-nucleotide ribosomal RNA is filed under the name uncultured bacterium. RNAcentral's name for it is "partial 16S ribosomal RNA". It matches the Rfam family "Bacterial small subunit ribosomal RNA", at positions 524 to 776 of the family's 1533-position model. The record is from RNAcentral.